This is a non-coding RNA of Callorhinus ursinus (northern fur seal), 489 nucleotides long. The record is from RefSeq and is a predicted model, not a curated record. NCBI's taxonomy places the organism in Eukaryota, Metazoa, Chordata, Mammalia, Carnivora, Otariidae.
CCUCCGGUCAAAAUGGCGAGCAGGCCUGCUGUUGCAGCAUCAAGCCGGUGGCUGGAGGGUAUUCGAAAAUGGUACUACAAUGCUGCAGGGUUCAAUAAACUGGGGUUAAUGAGAGAUGAUACAAUAUAUGAGAAUGAUGAUGUGAAAGAGGCCAUAAGAAGGCUUCCUGAGAACCUUUAUAAUGACAGGAUGUUUUGCAUUAAGAGAGCACUGGACCUGACCAUGAGGCAUCAGAUCUUGCCUAAAGAGCAGUGGACAAAAUAUGAGGAGGAUAAAUUCUACCUUGAACCAUAUCUGAAAGAAGUUAUUCGGGAAAGAAAAGAGAGAGAAGAAUGGGCAAAGAAAUAAUGAUGGAGUUGAACUCUGUGGUUGCAGCUGCCCUCAAAUAUUUUUAAGAAGUUGAAUAAACCUGAAGUGUACAAUUUAGAACUAUCUGAGCUGCAAAUAUAUUACUUUAAAUAAAUGUCUAUUGUGAUUAAAAAAAAUUAA